GAUGAACGCUGUCAGAAUGCUUAACACAUGCAAGUCUUUGGCGAAGCUGUGCUUGCACAGCCUAGCCAAGGCGGACGGGUGAGUAACGCGUAAGGAACUUGCCCUGCAGUCAGGGAUAACAGACGGAAACGACUGAUAAGACCUGGUAAAGUCAGGCGGACUCAUGUCCAGCCUGAUGAAAAGAGAUGCUGCAGGAGAGCCUUGCGUCCUAUUAGCUUGUUGGUGGGGUAACGGCCCACCAAGGCGAUGAUAGGUAGCCGGCCUGAGAGGGUGGACGGCCACAAGGGGACUGAGAUACGGCCCUUACUCCUACGGGAGGCAGCAGUGGGGAAUAUUGGACAAUGGGGGCAACCCUGAUCCAGCAAUUCUGUGUGCACGAUGAAGGUUUUCGGAUUGUAAAGUGCUUUCAGCAGGGAAGAAAAAAAUGACGGUACCUGCAGAAGAAGCGACGGCUAAAUACGUG
RNAcentral lists this ribosomal RNA (463 nucleotides) under uncultured bacterium. RNAcentral's name for it is "partial 16S ribosomal RNA". It matches the Rfam family "Bacterial small subunit ribosomal RNA", at positions 28 to 507 of the family's 1533-position model. The record is from RNAcentral.